UACGGGGGGGGCAAGCGUUGUUCGGAAUUACUGGGCGUAAAGGGCGCGUAGGCGGCCCACUAAGUCAGACGUGAAAUCCCUCGGCUCAACCGGGGAACUGCGUCUGAUACUGGAGGGCUUGAAUUCGGGAGAGGGAUGCGGAAUUCCAGGUGUAGCGGUGAAAUGCGUAGAUAUCUGGAGGAACACCGGUGGCGAAGGCGGCAUCCUGGACCGAUAUUGACGCUGAGGCGCGAAAGCCAGGGGAG
Molecule: ribosomal RNA, 245 nt
Filed under: uncultured bacterium
Lineage: Bacteria
Description: partial 16S ribosomal RNA
Rfam family: Bacterial small subunit ribosomal RNA
Source: RNAcentral